RNAcentral lists this ribosomal RNA (519 nucleotides) under Triticum aestivum (bread wheat). Its description in RNAcentral is "partial small subunit ribosomal RNA". The record is from RNAcentral. Lineage: Eukaryota; Viridiplantae; Streptophyta; Magnoliopsida; Poales; Poaceae.
AUGGAAUACACAAUUGUAGUAGCUGAAAUGGCAGAUUCACCUGCUACAUUACAAUACCUUGCUCCUUAUACGGGAGCAACCCUGGCUGAGUAUUUUAUGUACCGCGAACGGCAUACUUUAAUAAUUUAUGAUGAUCUCUCCAAACAGGCACAAGCUUAUCGCCAAAUGUCCCUUCUAUUAAGUCCCGGCCGUGAGGCUUAUCCAGGGGAUGUUUUUUAUUUGCAUUCACGCCUUUUAGAAAGAGCCGCGAAAUUAAAUUCUCUUUUAGGCGAAGGAAGUAUGACCGCUUUACCAAUAGUUGAGACUCAAUCUGGAGACGUUUCCGCCUAUAUUCCUACUAAUGUAAUCUCCAUUACAGAUGGACAAAUAUUCUUAUCUGCGGAUCUAUUCCAUGCCGGAAUUCGACCCGCUAUUAAUGUGGGUAUUUCAGUUUCCAGAGUAGGAUCCGCGGCUCAAAUUAAAGCCAUGAAACAAGUAGCUGGCAAAUCCAAAUUGGAACUAGCUCAAUUCACAGAGUGA